UGAGAAUCUAACACAAACGGAGCAGUUUCCUACUAAAGACCGGUGGACAAAAAAGAUGAUUUUUGUCUUUGGAGAGUCCUUACAGCAGGAAGGUCAGCAGAUGAAAAACCAGGAAACAUUUUAUCCCGGCUGCCACAGCACUCUUCAAAACAAACUUGGGGUUUCCUCCGGUGGAACAUUCCAGACCUGAGUGUUAACGCCCUAUGCGUGAGCUGCAGUGAAAGGGAGGGAUGGAGGCAGCAGACUACUGGAGCUGGCUCAGACCCCCAGGCCGCCUGAGCGCACACUAUGCGCCCACGCACGUGACCAUCAGCCCGAACCCAUUGGCAGUGCGUUCUACAGAGCUACAAAUCCUGAUUCCCCUUCAAAAAAGAUUUUUAAAUUAUGUUCAUGGAUGUCAUACCCUUUGGAGUAUCAGGGAAAGAGUAAG
RNAcentral lists this long non-coding RNA (430 nucleotides) under Cricetulus griseus (Chinese hamster). RNAcentral describes it as "lncRNA (ENSCGRG00015031087.1)". The record is from RNAcentral. Lineage: Eukaryota; Metazoa; Chordata; Mammalia; Rodentia; Cricetidae.